RNAcentral lists this long non-coding RNA (1074 nucleotides) under Oryctolagus cuniculus (rabbit). Its description in RNAcentral is "lncRNA (ENSOCUG00000033453.1)". Lineage: Eukaryota; Metazoa; Chordata; Mammalia; Lagomorpha; Leporidae. The record is from RNAcentral.
AUGACGGGGACCACACAGUGUGACCGGAGUGCCGGGCUGUUUCAGGGAGGGAGCCACAGAGUCAGACAGAGGGGCCGCCCCUGCUCAGGCCCCGCCCAGACCCUGCAGCCUCCUGGGUUUAAUCCGCAUGCCAGCACCACAGGAAGCCUUGCUGUCCCCAGGUCGGGUGAGAGCAGAGGCGUGGACUUCCCCAAGGCCAAGGUGACACACGGGUCAGGGCCUCCCGACCCUGCUCCCCAAACUGUCCCAGGCUCUGCCUUUCCAGUGGAAGGUUUGCAGCAGGCAGCUGGGCCCCCCUGCGCCAGCAUUCCUCAGCUGGAGGCCUCUGGAAAGAACCUGGAUGCGCCGGCCUGUGCGAGAGCCGCGUGGGGGGAGGGUGCUGGACAGAAAGCCCCAGGUAACAGAAACGGAAACCCUGCCCGCGCGCCCUGCACCUGGUCCUUCUGCAUUGCCCAAGACGCUGAAUGGAUCGUGAGCAGCUUGGUGAGCUCGGGCGUGAGCUCGGGCGCCGGCCGAAACAGCUGGCCCAGGCCUCCGCGCUGCCUCCCCUCCCUGCCUGGGAUCCGCAAUGGCACCACCUUAAACCUGGGCCCCGGGGUCACCCCUCAUGGUGCUCUGAGCCAGCUGGGCCCCCUAUUCCUACGGGGCCUCCUUGCUGCUUCCUACAGGGGCGCCCUCUUGGCUCCAGGGAGGAGGGAGCAACGCCCUGUCCAGUCACAGGCCCCUGGAGAAUUCAAGGGAGCCCCAAGGCCACUUGUCUGGGCUGCAAGCUACAAGGCCACCAGCCCCAGAGCCCUGCCCAGUCCACAUCACUGGGGCCCUUGGGCAUGCAGGCAGCACAGGGACAAGGGCUCAGAGAGCUCCGGGCGCCAGCGCAGGGUCACGUGGCACCAGAAGAACCAGGACUCAGAGCCAGGCCCAAGUGCAAGCACUUUCCCUGAGGCCAGCGGCACGGAAAUGCAGCCGCCGUGCUCCGGGCACUCUGGGACCCGGCUUCAGCCGCCCUCUAGGCCAGGGCCCAAGCCCAGGCGCUGGGGAACCCCCAGAGCACAGGAAGCAAGGCCCCCGGUCUGA